AGUCUUAUAGUCAAAAAUGAUAUUAAAUUGCAAAUUUAAAGGUAAGUUAAAUUUUAAGGCUU
Molecule: transfer RNA, 62 nt
Filed under: Sermylassa halensis
Lineage: Eukaryota; Metazoa; Arthropoda; Insecta; Coleoptera; Chrysomelidae
Description: tRNA-Cys
Source: RNAcentral